RNAcentral lists this ribosomal RNA (301 nucleotides) under uncultured bacterium. RNAcentral describes it as "partial 16S ribosomal RNA". It matches the Rfam family "Bacterial small subunit ribosomal RNA", at positions 509 to 808 of the family's 1533-position model. The record is from RNAcentral.
CAGCAGCCACGGUAAUACGAAGGGUGCAAGCGUUAAUCGGAAUUACUGGGCGUAAAGCGUGCGCAGGCGGUUUGUUAAGACAGAUGUGAAUCCCCGGGCUCAACCUGGGAACUGCAUUUGUGACUGGCAAGCUAGAGUGUGGCAGAGGGGGGUGGAAUUCCGCGUGUAGCAGUGAAAUGCGUAGAUAUGCGGAGGAACACCGAUGGCGAAGGCAGCCCCCUGGGCCAACACUGACGCUCAUGCACGAAAGCGUGGGGAGCAAACAGGAUUAGAUACCCGUGUAGUCCCUGUCUCUUAUACA